Gossypium raimondii (Peruvian cotton) is the source of this 917-nucleotide long non-coding RNA. RefSeq lists it as uncharacterized. NCBI's taxonomy places the organism in Eukaryota, Viridiplantae, Streptophyta, Magnoliopsida, Malvales, Malvaceae. The transcript has 3 exons. The record is from RefSeq and is a predicted model, not a curated record.
GAUAAACAAUUAAAUGAAGUAAAAAACAACAAAAGAAGUAAUAAAUGAAACCCUAAUCAUAAAUGGAAACCCAGCCACAUGAAUCGACACUCCUCAUUUCUAGUAAUCUGAAACAACGAUUUCUGAAAAAUCUUUUUUUUCUCCAUUUGGGUAGCUUUGUAUGUCUUACCAGAAACUUCUUCCAAUUAGGCUAACGGUCAACCAGUCACUGGGAGCCCGAGCAUUCGUUCGUCAAUCUUCACAGAUUGUUCAGCAUAACUAGGAAAAUUCACAAACAAACCCAGUUCCACAGCCUGCAAACAUGCAACAACUUCGGCUGCAAAGGAAGUUGCCAAGUUGGUAUGUUUGCAUGUAAGGAAACUUUUAAAUGUAGGACUUUACCGUCGCCAUUUCUGAUAAUAAUGCCUGAACUUGAUUUGCUCUCUUUUUGGUUAUAAGCUACUUCAAAAUUAAUUUUUACAGUAUGUGCUUACGGAGCCUUCCACCAUGUUUCCUCAACAGUGAAAUUGGUUCCUGUCAGUCCAUAUUGCCCAAAGCGUACAUCCAAAAACUCUGUCCAUCUGGCUAGAAUGAUUGUCAAAGAAUUGGCUCACCCAAUCCUUAAUGUUUGAAUCCGGUGACAUCGUUAGCCCUUUAAAAUUCAUUAACUAUCAUCUCAGUUGAUUUUUGACAAUCUUUGAAAACAUGCUCCACUGUUUUAGCACCACCUACACAUCGGGGACAUCCAAGAUUGCCAAUUAAUCUUUUGUAAAGCAAAUUAGCAAAAGUAGACAGAAAAUUUUUUAUUAUUCGCCAAAUUGUAAUUUUAAUUUUGUUGGGAAAAUCCAACAACCAAAUUUUCUUGUAAUGUGAAAGGUUAUUAAGAGAUUCCUCUGUUCUUCUUAUAAAAGCAAUCUAUUGGCACUUUUCAUCGAAUA